AGCUAACUGGAUUUAGAGUUUGGAGUUAAAGGACCUGUAUUGAAGUAUCAACUCUCCCAUUAACUACCCAGCUUAAUUGUGGUGGUGGCAGGCCUUACAGCAGUAUAUUGACAGCAGAGGGGAUCCACUGAGCCACCAUUCCAGAUGUCACCAUCAUGCUCACAGAAGAUAAACUAGGAACAAGAAAUGGAAUCUGCAAAGAGGCAAAUAUAGGCUUAAAAAUGUUGGCAAUAAGAAUGGAGAAGAGACAUGAAUAAGAAAAACAGUAAGUUUUAGUGUUUCAUGAAAGUGAAGGAGGAAUUCAAGUUCUUGGUCUCCAAAAACUUCUUAUCAAAGUUGAGAGAAUAGCAAAAUGGUAAAGUGGUUAGUAGAGGAAGUGGAGUAGAAUAUUAGGUAUGUGGAUCUUCCUGAGAGACUUUCCAAGAGAGCUACAGAGUGAGACCAGCUCUAUGAAUAUCAUGACAUGGCACUGGAAUCCCAGGAACUGAGCAGAGGAGAUCCAAACUCUACUCAGAUAGUCACCAUUAUCUCUGCUAGCAUUUCUCUAGAAAAACAAA
Molecule: long non-coding RNA, 557 nt
Filed under: Monodelphis domestica (gray short-tailed opossum)
Lineage: Eukaryota; Metazoa; Chordata; Mammalia; Didelphimorphia; Didelphidae
Description: lncRNA (ENSMODG00000043378.1)
Source: RNAcentral